UACAGAGGUCUCAAGCGUUGUUCGGAUUCAUUGGGCGUAAAGGGUGUGUAGGUGGCGCCGUAAGUCGGGUGUGAAAUUUCGGAGCUUAACUCCGAAACUGCAUUCGAUACUGCGGUGCUUGAGGACUGGAGAGGAGACUGGAAUUCAUGGUGUAGCAGUGAAAUGCGUAGAGAUCAUGAGGAAGACCAGUGGCGAAGGCGGGUCUCUGGACAGUUCCUGACGCUGGGGCACGAAGGUCAGGGGAGCAAACAGG
RNAcentral lists this ribosomal RNA (253 nucleotides) under uncultured bacterium. Its description in RNAcentral is "partial 16S ribosomal RNA". It matches the Rfam family "Bacterial small subunit ribosomal RNA", at positions 524 to 776 of the family's 1533-position model. The record is from RNAcentral.